RNAcentral lists this ribosomal RNA (488 nucleotides) under uncultured bacterium. RNAcentral describes it as "bacterial SSU rRNA". It matches the Rfam family "Bacterial small subunit ribosomal RNA", at positions 32 to 518 of the family's 1533-position model. The record is from RNAcentral.
AACGCUGGCGGCGUGCUUAACACAUGCAAGUCGACGAAGCAGCAGUGAAGGAGGCUUCGGCCAAUGGAUCUGUUGACUUAGUGGCGGACGGGUGAGUAACGCGUGAGCAACCUGCCUUUCAGAGGGGGAUAACGUUUGGAAACGAACGCUAAUACCGCAUGACAUAGUUUUAUCGCAUGGUAGGGCUAUCAAAGGAGCAAUCCGCUGAAAGAUGGGCUCGCGUCCGAUUAGAUAGUUGGUGGGGUAACGGCCUACCAAGUCGACGAUCGGUAGCCGGACUGAGAGGUUGAACGGCCACAUUGGGACUGAGACACGGCCCAGACUCCUACGGGAGGCAGCAGUGGGGAAUAUUGCACAAUGGGCGCAAGCCUGAUGCCAGCAACGCCGCGUGAGGGAAGACGGUUUUCGGAUUGUAAACCUCUGUCCUUGGUGAAGAUGAUGACGGUAGCCGAGGAGGAAGCCACGGCUAACUACGUGCCAGCCGCUGC